RNAcentral lists this transfer RNA (86 nucleotides) under Lachnospiraceae bacterium. Its description in RNAcentral is "tRNA-Leu". It matches the Rfam family "tRNA". From Rfam's summary of the family: Transfer RNA (tRNA) molecules are approximately 80 nucleotides in length. Their secondary structure includes four short double-helical elements and three loops (D, anti-codon, and T loops). Lineage: Bacteria; Bacillati; Bacillota; Clostridia; Lachnospirales; Lachnospiraceae. The record is from RNAcentral.
GGAGUGGCGGAAUCGGCAGACGCGCAGGCUUCAGGUGCCUGUUCUAUUCAGUUAGAGUGUGGGUUCAAGUCCCAUUGGGUCCACCA